CCUUCGGGUACGAAUUGAGCAGGUGGUGCAUGGUUGUCGUCAGCUCGUGUCGUGAGAUGUUGGGUUAAGUACCCGCAACGAGCGCAACCCUUGUGUUUAGUUUGCAAACAGGUCAAGCUGUGCACUCUAGACAGACUGCCGUGGACAACACGGAGGAAGGUGGGGAUGACGUCAAAUCAUCAUGCCCCUUAUGAUCUGGGCUACACACGUGCUACAAUGGCCGGUACAACGGGCAGCGAAGGAGCGAUCCGGAGCGAAUCCUAAAAAGCCGGUCCCAGUUCGGAUUGCAGGCUGAAACUCGCCUACAUGAAGUUGGAGUUGCUAGUAAUCGCGAAUCAGAAUGUCGCGGUGAAUGCGUUCCCGGGUCUU
This 369-nucleotide ribosomal RNA is filed under the name uncultured Fusibacter sp. RNAcentral's name for it is "bacterial SSU rRNA". It matches the Rfam family "Bacterial small subunit ribosomal RNA", at positions 1017 to 1382 of the family's 1533-position model. The record is from RNAcentral. Lineage: Bacteria; Bacillati; Bacillota; Clostridia; Eubacteriales; Fusibacteraceae.